Long non-coding RNA from Clupea harengus (Atlantic herring), 1790 nucleotides. The record is from Ensembl. NCBI's taxonomy places the organism in Eukaryota, Metazoa, Chordata, Actinopteri, Clupeiformes, Clupeidae.
CCCUAUAUUUUGUCACAAAGUGUCUUUAUUUACAAAUCAUGAUGUACAAAUAAAACAAAAACAAAACAUUAGGUUACAAUGAAAAACGACAAACAAAGAACACCACCAGGUUUUGUUCAGUAACUUGUUUAGACAGAUAGAUGUGUAACGGACUCUAACCAGCCCGCUACAAUAAUUAUAAAUAAUUAUAAAUAAAAUGUCUCUGGGUGGUCAAAAGUACAUGCAGUGGAGUCGUGGACGUUAAUCUGUCACCACUUUAUUGCACCUGCAACACAGCAGUAAUGGGCGAUUACACACAAGGGUAGCAAUGCUGGUAUCCCUUUCAGACUUCCAGGUAAGAGCUAACAAAUUAAAUGCUACCAUAGGCUAACCACCGUUACAUACAUUAUAGCCUACCGUCUACAACACUAGUAGUCAAACACCGUGAUCGUAUAGUGUAUUAAAUGUUAAUGAUAAAAAUGCAACCAGACAUAAACAUAGUACAUGACAGAUUAUAAGUAUUCACACCACACUCAGGCUCAACAUACCUGCAACACAGCAGUAAUGGGCGCACACAAGGGUAGCAAUGCUGGUAUCUACAACAAUUAAUUAGCCAGUUAGCACCCACUUAAUGGCUAGACAAACAUUUAUAACUCAUACGUAUUUAACGCCGCUAAGUUGCAUAUUCAACGGGAUGCAAAUAGCGGAGAUGAUAGACAACAAUCUUAUAUCACACAAAAAAUACACGUGAUGGAAAACUUUGAAAAAUACACAACACCAAUUAAUCUCAUUAACGGAGAAUUAAAGAAAUCCAGCUUACCCCUUUCACAGACUUCCAGGUAAGAGGAAGUCUUGAGGUGUGUCACACCAAUUAUCGCCUCAUUAGCAACAACACUGAACCCAGUAGUGGAACCUGUAAGUAGACGAUGGGUUGACUCAAAAACGAUCCGCAUACGGAUGUAAUUCUAGAAUGUUGAUUGGUUAAGAUGAGUUACCAGGCAGGAACGGAAAACACCAUUUAUUUGAUUGGCUAAUACCAGGACCUCUACUUUUCCCGCUGAGCUGCAACGUCGUUUGCCUGACAUUUAAUGUGGUGUCACGUUUAACGUUGCUGUUCAACAUUAAUAGCAACUGAAUUACACGUGUGUUAGGUGUAAUCUGUAGCGUUAAAUAACAUAAACUGAGAGUUUGUUAAUGACUGUAACAAAGCUCUUUUUGAAACCUUUGGGAUAGAGCAUGCUGUAACUUCAGCCUACCACCCGCAGCGCAAUGGGCAAGAUGAGCGCUCAAACCAGAACAUUAAGCGGCAUCUUGCAAAGUACUGUAAUGAGGAGCGGAAUGACUGGGACGUCUAUCUGCAACACGCUGUUUAUUCGAUAAACACCUCGAAGCAGCGUUCCACAAAGACACGCCCAAAGAUGUCGGCAUCGCUUCUGAUGUCCAGGAAUUGAGUGUAUUGUGCGACAUCUCGAUGGAAGCUGUAGGUGCUGAAUGUGCAGAUGUUGAUCACACAUUGGAAGUUGUCGUGCCACGUUUCGCGACUUAGACAGUCUGGCAGGCCCAGAGUUCAACUGGCUGACCGAUGAUAUUGUGAAUACGUGCGUUGCAGUGAUUGCUGCAGAUCACAAACAACGUUCCACUGUAAGUAGUUUCUAUUUUCUCUCUAGUCUGACAACUUACCAGUAUCUGUUAUUGUUUUGUAGAAGUUUACUCUGGUUUUUUUUUUGUUUUCACAGGACAAAGCCGUGUUCCACGCCCUUACCACAGACGCAUACACGUUGUGGUGUCGUGACUGGACAGCACAUAGUUGU